GGAGGAUCCAAGCGUUAUCCGGAUUUAUUGGGUUUAAAGGGUGCGUAGGCGGCAGAUUAAGUUAGAGGUGAAAUUCCGAGGCUCAACCUUGGCACUGCCUCUGAUACUGGUUUGCUAGCGAGUAGAUGCUGUAGGCGGAAUGUGUGGUGUAGCGGUGAAAUGCAUAGAGAUCACACAGAACACCGAUUGCGAAGGCAGCUUACAAAUCUAUAUCGGACGCUGAGGCACGAAAGCGUGGGGAGCAAACAGGAUUAGAUACCCUGGUAGUCCACGCAGUAAACGAUGAUAACUCGUUGUCGGCGAUAUACAGUCGGUGACCAAGCGAAAGCGAUAAGUUAUCCACCUGGGGAGUACGUUCGCAAGAAUG
RNAcentral lists this ribosomal RNA (367 nucleotides) under uncultured bacterium. RNAcentral describes it as "bacterial SSU rRNA". It matches the Rfam family "Bacterial small subunit ribosomal RNA", at positions 527 to 896 of the family's 1533-position model. The record is from RNAcentral.